GCUGCGGCCCGGGGCCGGGUGGUGAAUGGGCUGGUGGUGCUCGCUGCUGCUGCUGAGAGGAGAAGGAGGAGGAUGAAGAGUUGGGCUUGUUUGUCUCCCACAGUUUCUCUCCUGCUGCUCUGAUUCCCCCCUCCCGAUUCCGGCCCGGGGCCUGUGUGUGUCCCUCCUGGAGGAGGAGGAGGAUCCAGUUCCUCCCCCCAACCCCCUCCUCCCCACCCCCCCUUGCCUGGGGAAGAGGAGGAAAGAAACAGCCCAGAGAGAGAGAGAGAGUGAGUGAGAGAGAGAGGAGAGGAGAGGAGGAGGAGGAGGAGGGAGAAGGGAACAACCUACCAUCUUAACACACUAAUAUCUAAAAAGUGCGAGAGGCCCAGAGCAGCAGCAGAAGCAGCAGCAGCAGCUCCAGCUUCUUCCCUCCCUCCCCAUGAAGAAGAGUUCCCUCCUCCUCCUCCUCCUGCUUCUCCUGCUCAGAGUUCCUGCCUCCAGCUGCCAGGGGGGACAGCCAGCCAGCAGCAGGAGGGGGGCUAGAUUGCUGAAGGAGAGCCAGUUUCCCCAAAAUUGGACUUCUCAGAACCUUUAAUAUGCUAAUGUGCAUUGUGAAUCUCCAAGAGGGGGAUAUGAUAUGCAGCAUUCUUGAAUACUUCUAAUGACAGGGAGCCCACUACCUCAUAAGCUGCAGUGAGAAGAGGAGUUUGUUACUUUAAACAGAGGCUGAAGAAACUAUAGAAUUAGCAGAGAAAGUGGAGAAGGUAGAGGAUGGAGUUGCAGACUCUACAGGAGGCUCUUAAAGUGGAAAUUCAGGUUCACCAGAAACUGGUUGCUCAGAUGAAGCAGGAUCCACAGAAUGCUGACUUAAAGAAACAGCUUCAUGAACUCCAAGCCAAAAUCACAGCUUUGAGUGAGAAACAGAAAAGAGUAGUUGAACAGCUACGGAAGAACCUGAUAGUAAAGCAAGAACAACCGGACAAGUUCCAAAUACAGCCAUUGCCACAAUCUGAAAACAAACUACAAACAGCACAGCAGCAACCACUACAGCAACUACAACAACAGCAGCAGUACCACCACCACCACACCCAGCAGUCAGCUGCAGCCUCUCCCAACCUGACUGCUUCACAGAAGACUGUAACUACAGCUUCUAUGAUUACCACAAAGACACUACCUCUCGUCUUGAAAGCAGCAACUGCGACCAUGCCUGCCUCUGUGGUGGGCCAGAGACCUACCAUUGCUAUGGUGACCGCCAUCAACAGUCAGAAGGCUGUGCUCAGCACUGAUGUGCAGAACACACCAGUCAACCUCCAGACGUCUAGUAAGGUCACUGGGCCUGGGGCAGAGGCUGUCCAAAUUGUGGCAAAAAACACAGUCACUCUGCAGGUUCAGGCAACACCUCCUCAGCCCAUCAAAGUACCACAGUUUAUCCCCCCUCCUAGACUCACUCCACGUCCAAACUUUCUUCCACAGGUUCGACCCAAGCCUGUGGCCCAGAAUAACAUUCCUAUUGCCCCAGCACCACCUCCCAUGCUCGCAGCUCCUCAGCUUAUCCAGAGGCCCGUCAUGCUGACCAAGUUCACCCCCACAACCCUUCCCACAUCCCAGAAUUCCAUCCACCCCGUCCGUGUCGUCAAUGGGCAGACUGCAACCAUAGCCAAAACGUUCCCCAUGGCCCAGCUCACCAGCAUUGUGAUAGCUACUCCAGGGACCAGACUCGCUGGACCUCAAACUGUACAGCUUAGCAAGCCAAGUCUUGAAAAACAGACAGUUAAAUCUCACACAGAAACAGAUGAGAAACAAGCAGAGAGCCGCACCGUCACCCCACCUGCUGCACCCAAACCAAAACGGGAGGAGAACCCUCAGAAACUUGCCUUCAUGGUGUCUCUAGGGUUGGUAACACAUGACCAUCUAGAAGAAAUCCAAAGCAAGAGGCAAGAGCGAAAAAGAAGAACAACGGCAAAUCCGGUCUACAGCGGAGCAGUCUUUGAGCCAGAGCGUAAGAAGAGUGCAGUCACAUACCUAAACAGCACAAUGCACCCUGGGACCCGGAAGAGAGGUCGUCCUCCAAAAUACAAUGCAGUGCUGGGGUUUGGAGCCCUUACCCCAACAUCCCCCCAAUCCAGUCAUCCUGACUCCCCUGAAAAUGAAAAGACAGAGACCACAUUCACUUUCCCUGCACCUGUUCAGCCUGUGUCCCUGCCCAGCCCCACCUCCACAGACGGUGAUAUUCAUGAGGAUUUUUGCAGCGUUUGCAGAAAAAGUGGCCAGUUACUGAUGUGCGACACAUGUUCCCGUGUAUAUCAUUUGGACUGCUUAGACCCCCCUCUGAAAACAAUUCCCAAGGGCAUGUGGAUCUGUCCCAGAUGUCAGGACCAGAUGCUGAAGAAGGAAGAAGCAAUUCCAUGGCCUGGAACUUUAGCAAUUGUUCAUUCCUAUAUUGCCUACAAAGCAGCAAAAGAAGAAGAGAAACAGAAGUUACUCAAAUGGAGUUCAGAUUUAAAACAAGAAAGAGAACAACUAGAGCAAAAGGUGAAACAGCUCAGCAAUUCCAUAAGUUCACCUGAGUGAGUGGGCCCAUCCAUACGGCCCCCCCUCGCUCUUUCUUCCACACCAUGCUGAUUGCAUUUCCCGGUUUUCCUGACCAGUGUGAGGAAGCGGGCUUUCUAGAGACAAGUAUUGGAAAAAUGCAUGGAAAUGAAGAACACCAUUCUGGCCCGGCAGAAGGAGAUGCACAGCUCCCUGGAGAAGGUAAAACAGCUGAUUCGCCUCAUCCACGGCAUCGACCUCUCCAAACCUGUAGACUCUGAGGCCACUGUGGGGGCCAUCUCCAAUGGCCCGGACUGCACCCCCCCUGCCAACGCCGCCACCUCCACGCCGGCCCCUUCCCCCUCCUCCCAGAGCUGCACAGCGAACUGUAACCAGGGGGAAGAGACUAAAUAACAGAGCCCCUCUAGGAGAAGCCACGGGAUCCCGGCGGCGAGGAGAGCAGAACACUGAAGACUCUAGAAAAGCAAAGCCGGAUUUCUGGAAAGUGCAGAAUUCUUUUGGUUCUUUGGUUCCAGAGAGAGAGAAGAUGCUUGUGCCAGGUGGCACCAGAGUUUGCCAAUUGAUCCUUCUUAUUCUGUGUGUACAUGCAAAGAUUGGACCAUGUUACAUGAAAUAGUGCCAGCUGGAGGUUCUUUGCCAGCACCAUGCCAAGUGAAAUAAUAUAUUUACUCUCUCUAUUAUACACCAGUGUGUGCCUGCAGCAGCCUCCACAGCCACGAUGGGUUUGUUUCUGUUUUCUUGGGUGGGGAGCAGGGACGGGCGGAGGGAGGAGAGCAGGUUUCAGAUCCUUACUUGCCGAGCCGUUUGUUUAGGUAGAGAAGACAAGUCCAAAGAGUGUGUGGGCUUUCCUGUUUCUAAACUUUCGCUACUAUAAAACCAAAAAAAGGAAUUGAGAUUUAACCAACCCCAGUGCCCAGAAGAGGGAAGGGGAGUGGCUGGAGGGAGCAGGGGGGUGGGACAGUGUAUCAAAUAAGCAGUAUUUAAUCACGUCUGGCGGGGGCCUCGUGCAAGGGGAGACCAACACCAAGAACAGCCAGUAGGUUCUUCUCCCCUGCGCUCUGCUCCCUGCGCAGUAACCCCACCAUUCCUGAAGCCUGGCCAGUCUCCUUCCUUCCCUGCUUGGCGAAUUGCGCAUCCCCGUGGUUAUCCCGCUGUCUCCUCUCCAAGAACAAGCAGAGCCCGGGCCGCUGGCCCUUGCCCAAGGCAGGGAAGAAGGAUGUGUGUGUCCAGGAAGGAAAAAAAGGUGAAUCAGUGAUUUUACUUGAAAACAAGCUCCAUCCCUUUUCUAUAUUUAUAAGAAGAGAAGAUCUUGAGUGAAGCAGCACGCGACCCAGGUGUGUGUGAAUUGAAUGGAGACGUUUCUUUUCUCUUUUUUAAAUUUUUGUUUUUGUUCUUUUUUUCUUUAAGGAAAGUUUUAUUUUACUGUUCAUUUUACUUUCUUGGUAACAAAAACUAAAAUAAGGAAUAGAAAAGCUGUUUUUCAGGCUGACAGUCCAUUUAAGGGUAGCCGAGACCUUGCAUGGUAGAGUAGGAAUCAUAGUGUCAGUGAGGUCCCGUGAGUCUUUGUGAGUCCUUGUGUCAUCGUUCGGGCACUGUUUUUUUAUGCAAGGGCAAAAAUCUUUGUAUCUGGGGAAAAAAACAACUUUUUUUUAAAUUAAAAAGGAAAAUAAAAGAUAUUGAGGUCUUCCUAGUGUUACUUAAAUUAAGAUCAAGGUAAGAAACAUUGUAAAAAAGAAUUACAAAAGUGCUAUUUGUUUCCUAAAAACAGUGAUUUCUAUUAAAAAGGUGUCAGAACUGGAGAAAAUGCCGUGUAGUUAUAAUUUUUUAGCACAGACCCUGCUGAUCACAAUGACAUUUUGCCGUGUGUGUGUCUCUAGACUGGUGGGCCAGUCUCCUUGAAGGACAGAGGCGGAGCUCCCCACCCUUCUCUCUCCUCAGAAAAGACCGUGCUCUCUUCUUGGUGCAGGGAUCUUGUCUCCUGUUGUGAAGCCCAAAUGGAAGUAUGGAUGGUAUCAGGGCCCUACCCGUGGUCUUCUCAGAUUCUGCUAGAGCAAAAGGCUGGUGCCUAAAUAAGAUCCCUUCCUUUGGUGCUGCUUUUGGUCUUUCAGCCACCAGCAUUAUGAGUGCCUGGGGGACACCUCCGAGGGAACUGGCCAGCGGAGCUCAGUGGUGCACACGCACCCUGGCCGUGACAGGAGGGUGUGGGAGUGCAGGCUGGCUGCAUUAGCCCUUGGUGCUUAGAAAGAACAGAGGAGGAGUGACAUGUUUUGAGGUUAUGUCUCUGAGACAGAGCCCCAGUGUGGCCUUCGCUCUGUCUUGCCUUUGGGGAAAGGUCUGAGACUCCUGCUCCUUUCUCUGCCUGUUGGCUCCAGGCACCAGAAAUUUACUCCACCCCACCCACCACAAACCUCCUGGGUGACCCUUGGCUAGAAUUACUGCGCUCGCUUUGGCUUGGCUAGUUGUGGCCUCUCCUUCUUGAGAAAACCGGGGUUGUGAAAGGCUCAGACCAUUGUCUCAUCUUGGCCAGUCAGAAGUAAAUUGUGUCAGAUGCGUGCUCUCGCUGGAGACCUUUGCCCCUUGCGUGCCCCUGGCUGAUGGGAGGGCGGUGGAGGCUCUGUACCCUGGCCCUGCUGGAGCAUCUCCCCCAAGCCCACUCCAGGCCCUGGGAAGGGCCAGAGUCUAGGAGAGGUAGAAACGGUCCCGUCGGCUUCUCUCCCACCCAGUUAGGCCCGGAGAGACAAAGACAGAUCUGAAAGCAAAUGGAACAGAGAAGAGACACUUCGUAGAGUAAAAUGUGUCUCAUCCCUAUCAGCCGCCACCAUUCAUCUUCCCAAGGGCCUCAGAAGAAGGACUUAAGUUUGACUGAACAGGCCUCAGAGUUAGGCCCUGGCUGCUUGAUUGGCUGAGGGGGAAGAGUUCCCUUUUCUCAUUCAGAAACCAAGGUGCUGUGUCUAGUCAGGGAGCCUUGGAGAUGCCUGGACUAGUUGGAGGAAUCGUUGGCAGAGGAUCAGAGACCAGCAGCAGGCUGUCUGCCCUGUCUAGAGCUCUUCCCCUCAACUUGUCUGGGCCCAUCUGGGGGUUGCCACACAACACCUAACUUAACCUUUUCCUGAAAGAAGUUGGGAAGCCAUCAUCACUAGAGGCCUUUGCUCGGAGAGGAGCUGCCUGAGGAGUCUCAGGGGUUGGGGGGACGGGGCUAGGAAUUGACCAGGGCUUUGCCUGCCGCCCUCAGCAGUGUCGAGUACAUUUCGACCUCACCUGCAGCUGGGCUGUGGAUUCUUCCUGAUAUUCAGAUGUGAGCUGUUUUGGGAGUCAGCUAGUAUGGAGUAUGAGAUGCAACCCAGCCCCUAAACCUACAUUCUAGACUCAAAUUCCAAAACACUGCUUUACUGUAAAGAAGAGGCCCCUGGCACUCAAUCUCCCUGCCCUUCACUGUCCCCUCAGACCUGGGGGGGGGGCCUGUGACCACCUGAGACAUAUGCUCGUGACACUGCCCCACCCCAGCCACCUCCACUUGCUUCCUCCUCCUUCCGUCCGCUGCUCUUUGCCCAUGGCCCAGAAUUUAGCUGCUCUGACAGCCACUUUUGAGACCAGCUGGCUUUGCAGUCACUUCAGAGAGCUGGAGCGGCUGCCUACUGGGCCCUAACUGGGGGUCCCCUGCCAGCUCCUGAUCAGGCACUGCGCCCUGGUGGCAGUGAUGACUGGGAGUCCUUGGCCAGCUCGUGACCAGGCGCUGCACCCUGGUGACAGUGAGGCCAUGUUGCUGUCAUCUCCACCUCUGCGUUCUUGUUGCCUGCGGGUCCUCCUUCUUUCAUGGAGCCUGCUGGGUCUUGUCUCACUUGUGCUGAGUUCAUCUGGGGUUUUGAUUUAUUCCUUCCUUAUCAGGCCCUUUGGGGUAAGCCUGCUGGUUGCACCUGACAUAGGGAGGCAGUUAGGGGCAGUCCCUGGUGGGGCCGCCCUGGCAGCCUCCUGCUGGCAUCAUCGUGUGCCUGGUUUCCCUGCAAUGCCUGCCUCUCUGUCCCUGCUGCUGCUUGGCUCAGGCCCAACAGGCAGUGUGCAUGGGGGCGGUUGCACACAGCUGUUUCCCUGAGGGUGACCGUGUCUGCAGCGCACUUCCGUCUCCGCAUGCACGGCUGCCUCUCCAGCCACCUCUGAUACUUCUCUUGGGGCCAUCAGAGCCUCCCUUGGGCUCUCACCUCUCAGCUCACACACUCUGGUUUCCUCCCUUCAUUCCCUUACAGGGCGUGGUCCUUCUUACUUAUCUAAAGGGCUGAAUUUAGGAGACUUUUUACCCAGGGGCAAAAGGCUCCUAGGGUAAUGGGAUGGAUGGUGGCCCAGGUGCAUUUUCCAGGGCCUGGGUUCUCCAGAUCCCGUGGCUUCUGUUGAGUGGAGGCAACUUUGCUCUGUGUGAACCUCGCCCCUGUCCCUCGGCUGGGUGCUCCUGUCCCUUGGCCGGGCACCCUUGGCAGGAAGCAGGACUCCCAUUCUCACCCUAACUUAGACUGUCCUCUGAGUCAGCUCCUCUCCAAGAUGGGAGUGGGUGGCCCUGGGCAGCCUUCUGGCCCCCUUGCUAAAGUGAGAGGCAGGAAGCUGGGGCUGCCCUCCAGAAAGCCAGGGUAGGAACUCUGAAAAAUAGCUCCUCUAAACGGAAGCAGGACCCCCCAGUUCCACUUGGCACCCCCUCCCACAAGGCCCUUUCUCCCUGAGGACCCCAGCCCCCUACCCCUUCCUCAGCAGCCUUUGGGCCCUCACCUCUCUGGUAUCUGUGGGUCCUCAGCCCAGGGUGAGCUGCAGUCAGGUGGGGUGGGACGGGCAGGCCAGAGGUCAGCCAGCUCCUAGCAGAGAAGAGCCAGCCAGACCCCAACCCUGUCUCUUGUCCAUGCCCUUUGUGAUUUCAGUCUUGGUAGACUUGUAUUUGGAGUUUUGUGCUUCAAAGUUUUUGUUUUUGUUUGUUUGGUUUUUGUUUUGAGGGGGUGGGGGGGAUACAGAGCAGCUGAUCAAUUUGUAUUUAUUUAUUUUAACAUUUUACUAAAUAAAGCCAAAUAAAGCCUCUCA
Molecule: RNA transcript, 7587 nt
Organism: Rhinopithecus roxellana (golden snub-nosed monkey)
Lineage: Eukaryota; Metazoa; Chordata; Mammalia; Primates; Cercopithecidae
Gene: PHF21A
Gene name: PHD finger protein 21A
Exons: 20
Source: RefSeq, a predicted model, not a curated record